Molecule: long non-coding RNA, 790 nt
Filed under: Brassica napus (rape)
Lineage: Eukaryota; Viridiplantae; Streptophyta; Magnoliopsida; Brassicales; Brassicaceae
Description: long non-coding RNA (BNAP_LNC015015)
Source: RNAcentral
UUCUUCAUUCUCUUAUCUACAAUUAUCAUCUUUUCCAUUUUCAUCUUUUUUCAUCUCAUAAUACUUUUGAAAACAUGAUUUGACCAUCUAUAGAUGUGUCUAUCAAUACCAUGAAAUAUUUAAAACGGUACGCAUGCUGGGUGGAUCGUCCAACAUAUAUCACCAUAAUUUUUUUCCAAAAAAUGUUGGUAAUUCAUUCCCAAUUUUACCCAUGAUUGCAGAGUUAUAAGUUUUCUUUGAGAACAUGCAUUACAUGUAAAUUUGCACGUUUGUAAUUUUUUUUUGUUUUUCAACGUAGCAUCUCUUUAUUUUCAUGUAUAAUACCGCUCAUACCACCACCUCCACCAUCACGAUCUCUCCCCACCAUCGUACUAGUGGUCUUAUAGAUGGGCUUCAGAUUUGAAAAUAUGAAUAUCUGAGGUGCCCACCACCGACAGAAAGAUGAGAUCGAGAAAAGCUUAUCGCUCACAAAAUUCUAAUGUGUGUCUAAACAUCCACAAAUAAAAAGAAAUCUCAAUAAGAAAAUAUAAAAGAACAAAAGAGGGAGCAAUCUUUAUCGUUGUAUGUGUUUGCUUCUAGUUAGGUUAUAAUUAGGAUGGAUGAUUAAAUUAUGUGCAAAAGUUUAUGAGGAGCAGGGUGUCCCCUUGUGUAAUAAAUAAGUAGAAAGUGAUUUAUAAUGUAAAAUACUCUAUUUGUAUAUGAUAUCAAAGCUGUUUUUUUUAACACUGGUCAAAUAUCAAAUACAUCAUUGUAUAAUCUCUAAUUAUGUUACAUAUGAGGAUCAACAAUC